Molecule: long non-coding RNA, 6075 nt
Organism: Gallus gallus (chicken)
Lineage: Eukaryota; Metazoa; Chordata; Aves; Galliformes; Phasianidae
Source: Ensembl
ACUAAGUGCUUCAGACUACAAGAUUUCUUUGCAUUAUCUUUCUUACACAAAGAUUGCAGUACCACUAUUUGGCAGAGCAGAUUCUCAGCUACAAAACACUAUUUCUCAAUGUAGUCACCACCGUUAGCACUGCAUUUUCACCAGAGAUGAAAAAGAGACUGCAUGCUCAUAAAAACCUGCACCUGAAGAGGUGACCUACUGUUGCUGUCACCACUGCUGAAAUGCACCACUCACCAUCUCACUGUGCUGACAUCCACUGUUUGGUCUCCAUAAACAUUUGCAGAGCAUUCAGUGAAGAACAGAAGAAGAGCUGAAUUUUGAACACAGUGAGGCAUAAAGGAGGAGAGAUACUUCUGGUAUUGCUGACAGUAUCGUUCAGCAAACCUCAUGCACUGCCAGAGGCUGCAGGGGGGCUGAAGGACAGCUCACAGUCAGAGAAACCCAGCAGUGUUUGCCUCAGCAGAUCUUGUGGGAUCAUCUGUUGCUGCUGCCAAGAGUCCUCAGUCCUCAGCAGCAUCUGUGCCAGACUUACCAUUGAUCUUGUGAUGUGAACCUGGUGUGAAUGCCAAAGCCAAGCUGCUCGCCAGCCCCUUGUGACUCAGAAGUGAUAACUCCUGUGAGCCAAGGUGCACAGUCGGCACAGGACAGCCACCACCCAGGGAGCUGCUGAUCUGUGCCACCUCCAGCUUCUGUCAUCCACAGCUACUACUUCAGCACAGUUCUCCCUCCCCAGAUGUCCUAAGCAGCCAUAGAACAAAGACAUGAGUGAACAAUUUGCAGUUCUACAGUCUGUUCAUUAUUUCAAAACUUCUCUUUCCUGUCAUGAUUUAGAGACACCAAGAAAUGAAGUUAAAUGAAGCAUCACUUGGAUAAAACAGGGUAAACUGAACUCAUACUGAGCUUAUAAUAUUGCAUGUUUAUUUUAAAAAAUAGAUGUAAAAUCUGGUCAUAUUAGCAAUGACUUAAUCAUGUGGUAUUUGCAAGUUGAAACUUGGAGUAGCCCAUUUAAGUUCAAAAUGCCUAACUUUAAUCUGUAUAUUAUGUUAUAGUUUACAUAUUCUUGAGGAUUGCAUUUGUCCAGUUCCAGGAAAGUCCAAUAGUCCUUCUUACUGUUUGCUCCAGUGUGAAGUAGGGAGAAGGGCUGAUUACAUCGUUCCAGGAGGAGUCAGGAGGUCCUUUCCUCAUUCUCCUUCAACACUUGGCAGUGUUCUCCUCUCCACAAACAUUUCUGUAGGAAUAUCUUGAAACCACUCUGCUGUCAAAACCAGCCUGGCUAAGUAUGGCUGUUUUACUCCUAGUUCACCUGGUUUUAUGACAGAGUUGGUAUUACUUGUCGGCUCCAUGCUGUGACAGCUGUGAAAGUUAAUACAUUCUUCUUCUGCUGAAAACUGAGAUUUCGGUUUUACUUCUGGUGGCUACUACUCACCUCAGCUCUACACAAAUAGAAAUUAUAUCUUCCUGUUCUAUAGAACGUGCAAAAUCAAGCACUCUAUGUGGUUUGUGUGGGCACAACACCUACAAUAUAUUUGUUGAAAGAGAAUCGCUGUAAACCAACCUUAUAUUCCCUAUCCUCAGGCCAGACUUGGAAAGACUUUGCAAUCCACCAAAUGUGCUAAUUUGUUAAUAGAUGUGUUUGUAUGGAAUAGAGAUCCAUUUUAAAGUAUUGUUUUUUUAAAAAAUUUGAAAUCUAAUUGUUGUUACUAAUCACAGAAAUGCAUGCUGAGGAGACUGCUGAUUUCAAAGAGAGAUAUCAAUGCUUAAAGUAGCCUACAAUAGUAUGUGGUUAGAAAGAGCAGUUGAGGAUUGAUUCCCUUAAUUUCUUUGAACUAAAGGAUGAAAAGGAUAUAAAUCUGAAGUUCUUGUAAAAUGCUGCAUAGAGCUUCUGAGGCCAUAAGCUGUAGCUGUGAUCACAGUGAAAUACUUGUGUACCAGUCACCAAGGUCAGAAGGACAACAGUGUUCAAAGACCAUGACUGGUGCAAAAAAAUGGGAACUCUAAAAAUUCUAGUGAGGUGAUCUAUUAAAAAAAAAAAAAAAAAAAAAAAAAAAGAGAGAGAGAGUUUAAUGGUAUUAGUCCCCAUAUUAGGGAGUAAAAGGCUAAUUAGAAAGGUUAGGAAGAAAUUUCUGCAGUGGUAGGGAAUCACACUUCUCAAGCAUCUGAUAACAGACACAAGUAGAGGCAGAGAUAAUAAAUUAACAGGAUCUCAGAGCAGGCUGAGCAUAGAUAUCCUUUGUCCCAGUUUGAAAACAAAGGAGAUGUCCACCAGCAGAGAGCACAAAGGAAUGAUAAUAUGAGACCAGCCAAGGGCUUAUUUUGCUUGGUGCUGCUUCAGCUUCAGCUGCUUCAGGCCAACAGGACAGUCUUUAAGAUAGGAAGAAUGCAGCUCUUAACUCUUAACAGCCCUUAAGGGUCAUCUAGUCCAACUCCUCUGCAAUGGACAGGAACAACUACAGCUAGUUCAGGUUACUCAGAGCCCCAUCCAUCCUGACGUUGAGUGUCUCCAGGGAUGGGGCACCUAUCAACUCUCUGGGCAAUGUUCAAUUCACGUUCAAAGUUGUAUUAUAGUGCCUUAGAGAUAUUUAUAGCUGGAGUACCUCUCCUAUGAGGAAAGGUAGAGGGAACUGGACUUGUUUAGUUUGGAGAAGACUCCAGGGGGACCUCAUUGCAGCCUUCCAGUACUUGAAAGGAGUGUAUAAACAGGAGGGGGAACAGCUGUUUAUGAGGGUGGAUAGUGAUAUGAAAAGGGAGAAUGGUUUUAAACUGGGACAGGGGAGGUUUAGGUGAGAUAUUAGGAGGAAGUUCUUCACACAGAGGGUGGUGACACACUGGAACAGGUUGCCCAAGGAGGUUAUGGAUGCCCCAUCCCUGGAAGCAUUCUAGGCCAGGCUGGAUGUGGCUCUGGGCAGCCUGGUCUGGUGGUUGGCAACCUGCCCACAGCAGGGGGGUUGGAACUCGAUUAUCAUUAUGGUCCUUUUCAAACCCAGGCCAUUCUAUGAUUCCAUGAUUCUAUGACACCCUGGCUCUGAGAUGGGACCCCUGAGCACCAUCACACACAGAAAAUAUCAGGGAUCUCUGCUACAGCCAGGGGCUACAAGAUCAUGGGUUUUAUAGCUGAAUCUGUACGUACAGCAACUGUGCUCCAGCGCUUGAAAGAAAUAACAAACAUAAAAAAAUGACAUGCUUCCAAACUAAAAUUUUUUGACACUGUGAAGAGUAUUCGAACUGGUGGCACAUAUUAGCAGAAAGCUUUCCUCUUAACAGGAAAGUUUGAGCAGAAGUACUUAGUGCUGAGCACAUUUUGGAGAUUAAGUUAGUGUGGUUAAUGAAUUCUGAUCUACUAGAAAGAGUAAGGCCAUAAAAUAAGCUUCUUCUCAUCACACUGUCACUAUAUUUGAACAGUAUUGUCCCUAUGUGGGAAAAGUUGAUGGUAAAAGCAUUCAGAUUUUGGCCAAAUAAUUUAAUGGAAAUUAUGAAGUACAUUUGUGCUACUCAGAUAUGUCUGCCCUUUCCUUUAAGCAGAAGAAGGAUUUCGAGUUUCUAAUUUUUUGGUCAUUAAGUCCUGUCCGAAGAUGAUCUAAUACUACAAUUGUUAUUUCGUAACGACAAUCACUGAGAUUUUGCUGGUUAUUUUGUCUUGGAAGUCACUACAAAACUUGAUGCCAUGUACUUUGUUUUUGUUUUAUUUUUACUGAAUUACAAAGUUUUGCCAGUGCCAGAGUUUUGCAGAGGUGUCACUGGUUCACUACAGUUUUCAACAGCAUCCAAAUCUCAUUUUCAUUGAAAAAGAAAAAGGAAUUGAGAAAACAGAUCUUUUCCAUUUAAAAAGGGGCGUUUCAGUACAGUUCCUUUCCAAGAUGCCUGGAUAGCCUCUUCUUAAAUUCUAACCCAGAAUGAAAACAAAUUUUGAAGCUGCAACAUUUUGUUAUGUACUGGAACUGCCGCCCACUGGCCAACUUUACUUUUUUAUUGAAUCCUCGUGUUCCAUCUAAUGAACACUUUGUACUGCGUGUUCCCAAGCCUGAGAUGACAGAAAAUCUGACUACUAUUUUGAAUAUAUAUUUAUUUCUUUAUUGGCUGUUUUCUAUGGGGUUCAUAGGUGGGAGAAAUCCUUCUGAGAAUUGGAUUAAAAAACUGCAGAUUUGAAUUAGUUAAAAAAAAGAGAGAGAGCGAGAGAGAGAAAGAAACACAUCAUUCCAGAAGAAAAAUGAAAAGGAAAAUAUUUCAACAAUAAUACUGUUUAAUUGCCAUUUGAUUCAUGUACUGUUCCUUAUAUUUUUUGUGUAAAGAUUUAAAAACAUAUGUAUAGAUGGUAUGACUAGACAUAACACAAAAGUUUUUUAAAACUUCUUUAAUUCUCCUAGGACCCCCAAAAAGUCAUUUUUAAAAUGUAAAUUUAAAUAGGACUUUUUCUAACACACAUAUAAGCUGCCCAUACAAAUUUCCAGACUGUAUCUCACCAUUCGGGGUUUUGGUUUACAGCUCUGUAGUUUGGGGACAGUUUAAUAAACAAGGAUUGGGAAAUCCUAAUUACGUCUGUAUGGCAUUUAUGAAGUCAGUAGUUCUACUUGUAUAAUGUUUGGCCUAAUUAUACAAAUUUCAUUUUCCCAAAGUAUUACAUUCAUUUAUAUAACCACACCAUUCAUUUCCUGUUCCUGUAUUUACUGCAAAAAUACUGAAGCUCUGGAGACUUCAUGCAUUGGACUCUUUUUUGUGGUUACUAAGUUAGGUGCAUAGAUUUUUCUGAUUUAUAUAUUUUUUUAAAUUAUUAUUUACUUCCAUACCUGUAUUAUAAUUUCUUGAAGAUGUAACACACUCACAUUUUAUCUAACCAGCAAGAAAAAUGCAAAUUUCUUUUCUUGUUAAUUUCAUUUAGACAUUGAGAUAAGCAUGACUUUUGUAGAAUCAAGGGUGGUAAACAAUGAUGAUUUUAACAAUGAUUAAGCAGAACACCUAUAGAAAAAGCACUGUAGCAAUGUUUAACAGUUUUUUAUAUGGAGGCAAUGUAAAUCUCAGAAAGAUAGUGUUUAAGAAGGCAUUUUAAAAUUCAACAGGUUACAUGCUAUACAAAAUAUUAACUAUACUUAUUCUGACUAACUGCAACUUUACUAUUCUUGAACACUGUAAAAUUUUAUGAGAAAAUAUGUAAAACUAAAUGCUUUAGAAGUCCAACUGAAUGAAAUGUGCAGUUGUGUUUUUAUCCCAUUUCCAGGGUGCAGAAUUUCUGUAAGCAGAACAAUGUAACUCCACCUUUUUUUUAAUUUUUUUUUCACACCUAGUCAAACAGGUCAUUCCUAUACUUCCCAAAUAAGAUAAUAUGCCUUAUCAAAUCGUAUUUGUCAUCCAGGAAGCAGAAGUGCUGGACUUAUUUGAAUAAACACAGGUCUCUCAUUUUCCUAAUUAUUAAUAUUGUGCUCCCUCCAUCAUUACAAAAUAAUUUCUGAAAUCAUAAUUAAAUGAGUAAUAAAUAUAAUGUUUUGUACUUUGUAAAGGAAAUAACUAGGUAAUUUCCUACACUUGAUGCCAUUCUGGUCUAUAAACUUCAUAUGAUCUCAUGCUUCCUGAUGCUGGCAUCAAACCAUUCUUCACAGCAGUGGUUGUGAACAAAGAGUGAAACUCUGCAGGCUAGAAAGUGUUUGAGAAAUUUUGUUGACUAAUGUUACAGCCAAAAAUUGUUCAAACAAAAAAGAUUCUUAAGAAUCUUUUCUCUCGGAAAAAGAGGGGGACACUCACAGAGAGAAGUCCCUUCUGAAAUUGAAGAGUCACCAAAACCAAGAAUACCUGACCGAAAACACAAAACAAACUGUUGCUGAAAAGGUUUUUGCACUGUUAAUUAGUUGAUGAACACCAGGAAGCAUAAUAACAGCUGUUCUCCCUCCUUGUAUGAGCUGUCAUAGAAACUGAAAUGUAAAAAAAAUCGUACGUGAACACUGCUUGUGCAUCAUUAAGCAACUAUUGAGUAUAGCUUCUAUUCUAAUGAUACUGUGGAAGUGCUGUUAUGCAUAAAAUGUAAAAUGUUUUUUUCUUGGUUGUAUUAUUAUAUGAAGAGUUAAAAUAGAUGAGCACUACUGAUUGACA